RNAcentral lists this ribosomal RNA (315 nucleotides) under Sphingobacteriia bacterium. RNAcentral's name for it is "bacterial SSU rRNA". It matches the Rfam family "Bacterial small subunit ribosomal RNA", at positions 1 to 311 of the family's 1533-position model. The record is from RNAcentral. Lineage: Bacteria; Pseudomonadati; Bacteroidota; Sphingobacteriia.
UUUACAAUGGAGAGUUUGAUCCUGGCUCAGGAUGAACGCUAGCGCUUAAUACAUGCAAGUCGAGGGGUAGCAUGAUUGUAGCAAUACAGUUGAUGACGACCGGCAAACGGGUGCGGAACACGUACACAACCUUCCUUCAAGUGGGGAAUAGCCCAGAGAAAUUUGGAUUAAUACCCCGUAACAUAACGAUGUGGCAUCACAUUGUUAUUAUAGCUACGGCGCUUGUUGAUGGGUGUGCGGCUGAUUAGGUAGUUGGCGGGGUAACGGCCCACCAAGCCUUCGAUCAGUAGCUGAUGUGAGAGCAUGAUCAGCCAC